UUCGCUAACUUGGGUUUGAAUCUCUGCUAAGUUGGGUUCGAGUCUUCGCUAAAGAGUUUUGACAACAUUUUGCAAAACUUUUAUUUAAAGGAGAUGCUGGAGUCUGUUUUACUGACAAAAAGACAUUUUGUAAAAAUAAUUUUUGUUUCGCAAUAUUUUUUUAUUUCUUUUAGAUUUGGAAAUUGGCCUUCGAUCAUCAGAAUAAAAGAAUACGUAUUGCUACCAGUCUGUGGAGUUUCUACCAAAAACAAAAAAAUUGUUAAUUUGCUGUCACAUCAUAACAAUAAUUGUUAGAUGACCGCUUAGGAACACUGUGUGAUGAGUUAUAAGUAUAUAAAAAAUAACACUGACUGAUAAUUCAUAUUUCAAAAAUUGUGAUUUCGAUAAAUUACAUUCGCGUCUGAUCGACAGUGAUGCCAAUAAUGUCUCUCAAUUUGAAAUCUUUUUAAGCCAGCAUGCUGCUGGUACUCGCUCUUCAAUCCGCAUAGGUCUGCUCACUCUGCUUCCUUGUAUCUAUCGCGGUCGGCGACGAAGUGCACGUGUAGAGAAAUGGCAGAUUAUAGCGAAAAAUGCGAUGACUGUUCGUUUGAUUAUAGUGAAGAAAGGCAAAAAGGCGUUUGCCUGAUAAAAGAAGAAUUUAUUAUCGAGGACCAUAUGAGACAAUUGAGCGAACAGUGCUUGACAAAAAUCAAUAAGCAAAAGAUGUCUGAUAUGGAUACAGGCGCGGAAGAUAUGGAUAGGGAUGAAGUACCCAUCAAGAAGCCCAAAUUGGACGACAAGAGAGAAAAGCUCAGAGGUCAAAACAAGGCCAGACCGCCUCCGUUUAAAGCUUCCCGAGAAUUCAGUUUAUGUCCAUGGAUCGCAGAUCAAACGGCAGAUGAAUCUGAGCGAAAAUGCUCGAAUCAGCGCUGUACCUUCCUACAUGAUCGAAAGGAGUAUCUGAAGAUUAGGCCGGCGGAUGUAGGUACAGAGUGCUAUGUUUUUAGUUUGACUGGCAGGUGUCCAAGAGGAAUCACUUGCAGAAUGGGCUUACAACACUUGACUGAGGAUGGUUUUAACAUUAUCGAUGAGAAAAAAUUCAAGGAAUACAGUAAGUCCCCACCGGCUGUAAAAAAUAACUUAUCCAAGGAUCUGCAAAACAAAUUGCGCAAACGAAAAUACAAUUUUUCUAAGGCGGAGGCUAUUGUCAAAGCUAAUGGUCCAGCUAGGAAAGAAACACAACUGCAGAAUUCAAAUAUAAAAACAGAAAAUGAAGCGGAAAACACUAAUACAAAGCCAGACAUUAAGGCUGAUAUUUCUGACAAUAGCAACGGCGAGAAAGUAGACAGAAGCAUUUCUAGCGAUAUAAAAGACGAGAAAGCGCAAUUGAAUGUUCCUGAUUGCGAUAUUUUGCACAAGUCAAAGGAACCGAGACUCGGACCUGUGGACGAUAGCGAUUUAAUCAAAUUGCGACAGUCGGAGAAGAAGACGAUUGACUGGAGAGGCAAGAUACUACUCAGUCCUUUGACCACCGUGGGCAAUCUGCCGUUUCGAAGGAUCUGCAAGGAGUAUGGCGCGGACAUCACCUGCGGCGAAAUGGCAUUGGCACCGAAGAUACUAAAGGGCGCGCAGGAGGAGUGGGCAUUAGUGAAGCGACACGAGAGCGAGGAUAUCUUUGGCGUACAGCUCUGCGGCAAUAAUCCAGGUGUGCUGACGCGAUGCGCUCAGCUGCUGAAUCACGAGAUUAAUGUGGACUACAUUGAUUUGAAUCUUGGCUGCCCGAUCGAUCUGAUUUACAGGCAAGGCGGCGGCAGCGGUAUGCUCAAUCGACUGAACGUACUCGAGACCGUGGUAAAGUCCGUUAGCCAAGUGCUGGACAUACCGUUGUCCGUUAAAACCAGAACUGGCGUCUACAUAGACAAGCCGAUCGCGCAUAAUCUAAUGCCGAGAUUUCGAAACUGGGGGGUGUCUAUGAUUACUGUUCAUGGCAGAUCGCGUGAGCAGAGAUACACGAAGCUGGCCGAUUGGGAGUAUAUAGAAAAAUGUGCGGUGGCAGCGCAGCCGAUACCCGUGUUCGGAAAUGGCGAUAUUUUGUCCUUCGAUGACUAUCGUCACGCGAAGGAAACCUAUGGUACGGUGCAAGGCAUUACCAUCGGACGCGGCGCGUUAAUCAAGCCGUGGAUUUUUACUGAAAUAAAGGAGAGAAAAUUAAUCGACAUAUCGAGCACAGAGAGAUUUGAUAUUCUCAGGAAGUACGCGAAUUACGGGCUCGAGCAUUGGGGAUCCGAUACCCGUGGCAUCGAAACUACGAGAAGAUUCAUGCUGGAAUGGAUCUCCUUCCUUCACAGAUACAUUCCCGUUGGAAUUUUGGAGAGACCACCGCAGCGGAUUAACGAGAGACCAGCGUUUUACAGAGGUCGCGAUGAUAUGGAGACGUUGAUGGCCAGUUCCAAUUGUGCCGAUUGGGUGAAAUUAUCAGAGAUGUUGCUCGGAAAAGUGCCUGAUGGAUUUCAUUUCUUGCCAAAGCACAAAGCGAAUUCGUGGAAAUAGUUACUGUGGGAGAUAAACAUUUUUGUAGAGAAACGUUUCUCGAGACAAUGAAUUCUAUUAUAAGUUGUUGAUUUUUCACAACAAAUGAAACGUAAAAGAGAAGGAUUGUUCAUGGAUUAGGACAUUUUACUAACGGGCAUUAAAUCUCUGUUAUCUCUGUUUAGCUGUCGCAGUUUCUUUGCCGCGUUUUCCGCAUUAUAAU
This 2731-nucleotide unclassified non-coding RNA is filed under the name Monomorium pharaonis (pharaoh ant). Its description in RNAcentral is "tRNA-dihydrouridine(47) synthase [NAD(P)(+)]-like, transcript variant X2". Lineage: Eukaryota; Metazoa; Arthropoda; Insecta; Hymenoptera; Formicidae. The record is from RNAcentral.